GGGCCGUUAGCUCAGUUGGUAGAGCAGCUGACUCUUAAUCAGCGGGCCGCAGGUUCGAUCCCUGCACGGCCCACCA
This 76-nucleotide transfer RNA is filed under the name Nitrospirae bacterium 13_1_40CM_62_7. Its description in RNAcentral is "tRNA-Lys". It matches the Rfam family "tRNA". From Rfam's summary of the family: Transfer RNA (tRNA) molecules are approximately 80 nucleotides in length. Their secondary structure includes four short double-helical elements and three loops (D, anti-codon, and T loops). Lineage: Bacteria; Pseudomonadati; Nitrospirota. RNAcentral also lists the same sequence under 6 other names. The record is from RNAcentral.